GUCUAUUAUGAAGUUGUUAAUAGUCUGGCCUGCUCCCUGACUGAAUAGUUAAAGAGCCGCGGUAAUUUGACCGUGCAAAGGUAGCAUAAUCAUUAGUUUCUUAAUUGGAAACUUGUAUGAAAGGUCUGACAAAGAAAAAGCUGUCUUUAUUAUAAAAAUUGAAUUUAACUUUUAAGUGAAAAGGCUUAAAUAAUUUAGAGGGACGAUAAGACCCUAUAAAGCUUUAUAUAAGUAAUAAUUAAAACUGAAUUUAUAAUAAUAUUAAAAUUAAUUAUAUAAUAUAUUUUAUUGGGGUGAUAUUAAUAAAAUUGAUAUUAACUGUUAAGCGAAAAUACAGAGAUAAAAGAUUUAAAUCUGUUAAUGAUCCUUAUCUAAAGAUUAAAAGAUCAAGUUACUUUAGGGAUAACAGCGUAAUUUUUUUUAAGAGUUCAUAUCGAAAAAAAAGAUUUCGACCUCGAUGUUGAAUUAAAGAUAUCUGUGUAAAGCAGCUAUUACACAAGAAGGUCUGUUCGACCUUUAAAUUUUUACAUGAUUUGAGUUCAGACCGGCGUGAG
This 554-nucleotide ribosomal RNA is filed under the name Trapezia guttata. Its description in RNAcentral is "partial large subunit ribosomal RNA". It matches the Rfam family "Bacterial large subunit ribosomal RNA", at positions 1819 to 2625 of the family's 2925-position model. Lineage: Eukaryota; Metazoa; Arthropoda; Malacostraca; Decapoda; Trapeziidae. The record is from RNAcentral.